Molecule: long non-coding RNA, 240 nt
Filed under: Elaeis guineensis (African oil palm)
Lineage: Eukaryota; Viridiplantae; Streptophyta; Magnoliopsida; Arecales; Arecaceae
Description: long non-coding RNA (EGUI_LNC056072)
Source: RNAcentral
CAUCUAGGGAGGGAUAAUACUAAGCUGGUCAAGGAGCUCAGCUUUAUAGAGGAGGCUCUUCAGAAGGCCCAGGAGUCGAUUCUCCAUUGGGACAAAGAAUUAUGGCAGGCUGAAAGACAGAUUGAGGCCCUCGAAUAACAGAAAUCUAGGGACGACAGGAAGGUUGAAGACCCUGAAGGGAGGAUUAAAAUCCUUGAGAGAUAGAGGUCUGAGCUGAGAGAGACUGUCAUCGAACCCGCG